This 468-nucleotide ribosomal RNA is filed under the name uncultured bacterium. Its description in RNAcentral is "partial 16S ribosomal RNA". It matches the Rfam family "Bacterial small subunit ribosomal RNA", at positions 28 to 507 of the family's 1533-position model. The record is from RNAcentral.
GACGAACGCUGGCGGCGUGCUUAACACAUGCAAGUCGAACGGAAAGGCCCUGCUUUUGUGGGGUGCUCGAGUGGCGAACGGGUGAGUAACACGUGAGUAACCUGCCCUGGACUUUGGGAUAACUUCAGGAAACUGGGGCUAAUACCGGAUAGGAGCUCCUGCUGCAUGGUGGGGGUUGGAAAGUUUCGGCGGUUUGGGAUGGACUCGCGGCUUAUCAGCUUGUUGGUGGGGUAGUGGCUUACCAAGGCUUUGACGGGUAGCCGGCCUGAGAGGGUGAACGGCCACAUUGGGACUGAGAUACGGCCCAGACUCCUACGGGAGGCAGCAGUGGGAAGUAUUGCACAAUGGGCGGAAGCGUGAUGAAGCAACGCCGCGUGCGGGAUGACGGCCUUCGGGUUGUAAACCGCUUUCGCCUGUGACGAAGCGUGAGUGACGGUAAUGGGUAAAGAAGCACCGGCUAACUACGUG